CAGGAGCUGUGUGCUCUAGUGGAGGAUCCACACUGGACACUGGACACUGUCAGGUUGGAGCCCAGUGGAGUCCGAUGGUUGAGACCAGGUCUGAGGAAGUGUAAGUGGAUUUACAUUGGAUUAAAGAUGAAACCCAACCUGUUAUGUGGACCUGCCAACCUACUAUUAGUGAAGGUCCACAGUCAGUGAGUGUGUGUGCAGCUGUAAACACUCAGCUGUGGGUCAUAGUGGGUGGAUGAACCAGUGGUCCAGUGGUUAGAGCUGGAUGGACCCUUGGAUCCAUGUCACCCCCUACUCUGUGUCCCAGGGUUAGAGUUUCAUCCACUGUCACUGUCCAAGACAGAAAAGAGCCCAAAAGGAUGAAAAACCAGUAGAUUUAGUUCAAGAUGAAGCAGGUUGAACUGAAACGAACCAGUUCCUUUAAUAAACAUUUAUGAUCUGCGCUAAUUUCAUGAGUCAGUGGAUAGAUUUGAAUUCAUCCAUUAGAUUCAACAGCAGGAACUAAACCUAAAUGUGAACAAACAUCAUUCAAACAUAUUCACUGAGGACUGAGGCAGAGUUACAGGUUAUUGAUCAGAGACAAGAAUAGAAGAGAAAAGAGAAAGAACAGCUGAGAAUAGGUUUGAAUAAACAUGAACAGAACCUCCUCAUGUUGGUUCUGACAAAUCUGAUCCAUGUGACAAAGACCACAGAUAAAGACAUUGAAUCUGUGUUUGGAUUUGACUGUAUUUCACUGAUAUCCAUUAGUUCAUGUGACUUUAGUUGUGUUUGUAGUUAACGUUAGUGUCAAACUGCAUCAGUUUCAUCAAAACCUUCAACAGUCUGUGCUGAACUAUAGAACUGGACUAAAACCAGGAACAGAAACCACUUUCACAAAGAACAGAAGGAAAACCAAGGUCUAUAGAAAGGAUUUAUAUAAAACACAAACAUGAACAUCAGUUGACUCUCCUGUUUUCAUUCCUUUAAUUGUGUGUUUGUGAAAACAGAAACAACAGAUCCAUGAAUAAAACACUGGGUUUCUCUGUUAUUGAUCAUUAUUGUCAUUAGUAAGAAUCACACCUGAUCCAUCCAUCAAUGACAUCUAAUGUUACCCAGGGAUGUGAUCAGACUGUCUGUCAAUCAGCUGAUCACUGAUCAAUAACUGCAACUAACUACUAAGACCACUUAGUACAGAAUGUAAUGCCCAUUUCACAGUCAUACAGGCAAAAAUUCAU
Molecule: long non-coding RNA, 1214 nt
Organism: Sphaeramia orbicularis (orbiculate cardinalfish)
Lineage: Eukaryota; Metazoa; Chordata; Actinopteri; Kurtiformes; Apogonidae
Exons: 3
Source: RefSeq, a predicted model, not a curated record